GCUACGUGUCACUACACAUCCCAAAGCAGCGUAACCAGGUGGAGCAACUGGGUACCAGAAGAAAGCUUCCUCCAGUCCUUUGCCCGCAAUAUGAGCAACUUUUGUAAAUUGCACAGCCUUUGCAGAAAGUUCAGGGUUGUCAGCCUUGAACAUUAUACCCAGGGGAGGUGGUUCUAAGCCUUCAGUAAUACAGUCACCCAGUACUGCAUAACCAGGACGUCUUAUAGGUCUCCAUAUAGAGACAGCAGGGCGGAGAUCAUUACCCCUGUCCCACCAGAUCCGCUCAAAGUUUGGGGUUGAAAUAUAACAAGAGGUCGCUUUAGAAAUCGAUCUGAU
Molecule: unclassified non-coding RNA, 336 nt
Filed under: Hevea brasiliensis (rubber tree)
Lineage: Eukaryota; Viridiplantae; Streptophyta; Magnoliopsida; Malpighiales; Euphorbiaceae
Source: RNAcentral